UGGGGAAUAUUGGACAAUGGGCGCAAGCCUGAUCCAGCCAUGCCGCGUGUGUGAAGAAGGCCUUUUGGUUGUAAAGCACUUUAAGCGAGGAGGAGGCUACUUGGAUUAAUACUCUAGGAUAGUGGACGUUACUCGCAGAAUAAGCACCGGCUAACUCUGUGCCAGCAGCCGCGGUAAUACAGAGGGUGCGAGCGUUAAUCGGAUUUACUGGGCGUAAAGCGUGCGUAGGCGGCUUCUUAAGUCGGAUGUGAAAUCCCUGAGCUUAACUUAGGAAUUGCAUUCGAUACUGGGAAGCUAGAGUAUGCGAGAGGAUGGUAGAAUUCCAGGUGUAGCGGUGAAAUGCGUAGAGAUCUGGAGGAAUACCGAUGGCGAAGGCAGCCAUCUGGCCUAAUACUGACGCUGAGGUACGAAAGCAUGGGGAGCAAACAGG
This 430-nucleotide ribosomal RNA is filed under the name bacterium. RNAcentral describes it as "partial 16S ribosomal RNA". It matches the Rfam family "Bacterial small subunit ribosomal RNA", at positions 355 to 776 of the family's 1533-position model. The record is from RNAcentral.